Molecule: ribosomal RNA, 828 nt
Filed under: Triticum aestivum (bread wheat)
Lineage: Eukaryota; Viridiplantae; Streptophyta; Magnoliopsida; Poales; Poaceae
Description: partial small subunit ribosomal RNA
Source: RNAcentral
AUGUGCCUGUAUGUUGAUUAUGAUAUGAAGCUGCCAUCUGGGAUUGGCAACCUGACUUCCCUAGAAGUGCUAGAUAACCUGGGGUUAUCUGACGCGGACCUUGAUUUUGUGAAAGAAUUGGGCCAUCUGACCAAGCUCAGGGUGCUUGGGAUUGACUGUAGUGAUUUUGAUGAGAGCCUGGGUAAAGCUUUGGAGGAAUCCAUUAGUAAUAUAUACAAACUGGAAAGUCUAGAUGUAUAUGUCAGUCAUGGACACAUCAAUUGCCUGAGAGAUGAUUGGGUGCCUCCUCCACAACUCCGUAGAUUGGCUUUCCCGUCAAUUGGAAGUUGGUUCAAGACAUUGCCGUCAUGGAUUAAUCCUUCAUCGCUUCCUCUCCUCUCCUAUCUGGAAAUAACGCUGUUUGAAGUGCGAUCGGAGGUCAUCCAACUUCUAGGGACUCUGCCUGCUCUUGUUUUUCUUGAGAUACGGGAUUAUUCCAUGGACAAUGAAGCGCAUGAGGUGGAAGCGCCCGUCCUUUCCUCUGGUGCUGCGUUAUUCCCAUGUGCGACGGAGUGCCGCUUCAUUGGUAUUGGUGCCGUGCCGUCUAUGUUUCCACAAGGAGCUGCGCCAAGGCUUAAACGCCUUGGGUUCGCCUUACCAGCCAAGUGGAUCUCCCGUGAAAACUUUGAUUUGGGCAUGCGGCACCUCCCUUCCCUCCAGCGAGUCAACGUUGAAUUUAUCAGGAAGGGAACUAGCCAUCAGGAGAUGGAAGAAGCCAAGGCAGCGCUGAGGGCCGCAGCGGAGGACCACCCCAACCGUCCCGUCCUUAAGAUAUGGUCCCGCCCUUAA